AAAGAAGAGAUAUGAGGAGAUACCACCCCCAACUCCUUUGCUUAGCACUUCUAAUGCUUGUAAAAUACUCCAGAUAAUGUCAGCCUUUUCCAGUGUCUCAGCCAAAUUCCUGGGUCUAAGGCUUGACUAAGGCAAACUCAGCUCAUCAAAUCAGAUAAAGGAUCUUCCUUCCCCUGAGGAGUUCUGGGGAAGUCCUCAUGCCCUCCUACAGAAAUGGAAAAUGGGAAAAGGAAAGGACCUCCUUAGCAUCUUUCAACGACAAAGCAAAAUAAGGAAAUGAAUAUCUGCCCAGAUCGCCCAGUCCAAUCAAUUUUCAGGAUCCAUGGCAGCUCUGGAUUCAUCGUCUCUAGUGAUUCUGAGUGUAACAAGACAUUUUCCUAUCUUAUACACGUGACCCUAUGUGACCCCAGUGUUUCUACCUUUUACCCAGCUAGUAGUCUCUUGGCUUCAUUCCAAAAUUUCAAAAAUAAAGGCUGCAAAUUAUAAC
RNAcentral lists this long non-coding RNA (487 nucleotides) under Sarcophilus harrisii (Tasmanian devil). RNAcentral describes it as "lncRNA (ENSSHAG00000030126.1)". The record is from RNAcentral. Lineage: Eukaryota; Metazoa; Chordata; Mammalia; Dasyuromorphia; Dasyuridae.